GACGAACGCUGGCGGCGCGCUUAACACAUGCAAGUCGAGCGGGAACCGGGCCUUCGGGCCCGGGGACAGCGGCGAACGGGUGAGUAACACGUGGGUAAUCUGCCCUCGGUACUGGGAGAGCCCGGGGAAACCCGGAUUAAUACCGGAUAGCCCUUCGAGCCUUCGGGCUCGCAGGAAAAGGUAGCUUCGGCCUCCGACCGAGGAUGAGCCCGCUGCGGAUUGGCUAGUUGGUGGGGUAAAGGCCUACCAAGGCGAUGAUCCGUAGCUGGUCUGAGAGGAUGGCCAGCCACACUGGGACUGAGACACGGCCCAGACUCCUACGGGAGGCAGCAGUGGGGAAUAUUGGACAAUGGGGGCAACCCUGAUCCAGCAAUGCCGCGUGAGUGAAGAAGGCCUUCGGGUUGUAAAGCUCUUUAGUGGGGGAGGAAGCGCACGCAUGAAUAGUGGGUGUGGUUGACGGUACCCCAAGAAUAAGCACCGGCUAACUCUGUGCCAGCCGCCGCCGUAA
RNAcentral lists this ribosomal RNA (508 nucleotides) under uncultured bacterium. RNAcentral describes it as "partial 16S ribosomal RNA". It matches the Rfam family "Bacterial small subunit ribosomal RNA", at positions 28 to 523 of the family's 1533-position model. The record is from RNAcentral.